This 253-nucleotide ribosomal RNA is filed under the name uncultured bacterium. RNAcentral describes it as "partial 16S ribosomal RNA". It matches the Rfam family "Bacterial small subunit ribosomal RNA", at positions 524 to 776 of the family's 1533-position model. The record is from RNAcentral.
UACGUAGGGUGCAAGCGUUAAUCGGAAUUACUGGGCGUAAAGCGUGCGCAGGCGGUUAUGUAAGACAGGGGUGAAAUCCCCGGGCUUAACCUGGGAACUGCAUUUGUGACUGCAUAGCUAGAGUACGGCAGAGGGGGAUGGAAUUCCGCGUGUAGCAGUGAAAUGCGUAGAUAUCUGGAGGAAUACCGGUGGCGAAGGCGGCAUCCUGGACCGGCAUUGACGCUGAGGAGCGAAAGCCAGGGGAGCAAACGGG